Molecule: long non-coding RNA, 3188 nt
Filed under: Helianthus annuus (common sunflower)
Lineage: Eukaryota; Viridiplantae; Streptophyta; Magnoliopsida; Asterales; Asteraceae
Description: hypothetical non coding rna
Source: RNAcentral
UCACUUUUCACAAACCCUACAUACCAUUUCCUAAAUCUGCUUCUUCGUUUUUCAGAGAUUCAUCGUCCUUAGAUGAGAUUCAUAAGGACGACAAUGUUUUGAUGCUUUCUUCAUCUUCAUGGUUUGCUUGUGGUCUUUCGUAUCCGUCAAAACCCUAAUCGACUAGAGAAAUCAUCAAAAGUUCUUCACAAUAUGAUCGUUCCACAUAAUUUGCAGAUAUGCAUCCCUUACACAACAGUCCUUCAUUUUUAAAGCUUAUUGAUGAAGAUGACCCGAUAUUUUUGGUGAAGAGUUUCUUUCAGACUCCUUCCCCUACAAGGAACUAUUGAAUGGGUUCCUAUGAGAAGUUGAAGAAAAGUUAUGGAUAAUGAAAACAACGCUCCUUCGUUAUUAAAGUCGAUUGAGGACUAUGAUCCUAUAUUUUUCGAAUUGUUCGUCGACCAAAAACAGUUAUGGAUCAUGAAAACAACGCUCCUUCGUUGUUAAAGUUGAUUGGGGACUAUGAUCCUAUAUUUUUGGUGUUUAUUUUGGAUGGUCCGGAGUUUUUGGCUGCAACUAUGUUGGACAGAGAUAUGCUUGCUAUUGCUGUAAAUUGGUACCAUGUCGGUUGGUUUUGCUUGGUAAGAUUUGUGACGAUGCGUCGGACAAACAACAUUGAGAAAAUAUACAGCCUUGAGCCUUGAUGACCAAUGUAUAUCUCUAUUUGAGGAAUUCUCCAAAGAUCCAGAGCCGAUUGUUUCAUAGAGAUGUAAAGUUGCGUUAAACAUACUGGAUUUUGAACGAUCCGACAAACCAUUCGAGGUACUUGGAAGAUUAAGUCUCUUAUCUGGGUGGUUGUUACAGGUUUAGGAUGUUAAAUGAUUUUGGAUGUACUCUGCGAUGUCGAUGAUGCGGAGAUGUUGGUAAAGCUCAGGUUAACAACUUCAUGUGUAUAUUUUAAAUAAUAAAGUUUUUGUUGUUUAUAUUUUCUAAUUUAAACUUUUAAUUAACUUCUAAAUUUAAUUAAAUGAGUUUGUUUUGCAGGUUCGAACAACUUCAUGUGUAUUUUAUUAUAAAAAAUAAAAGUUUUUUUUUUUUGUUUCAUGGGUCGUUCAGAGAGGCAAGUUUCUGCCUCCGGUUCUUGCCCGAAGUUUCUAACCUUACUUGCAACCAAUGUUUUAAAAACCGGUUUUUAAGUCAUACCGGGUUGGACUCUAAAAUGGUUCAACCGGUUGAACCGGGUUGUAUCGGGCGGUUGAACCGGGUUAGUAGUUAACCCUAUAAAUAUCAUAAAAUACAAAUUCAUCUCAAAAAACAAUCAAAUCUCAACUUAGAUUUAUGUAACUUAUCAUAGUUUUAUCUAAAAAUAACUAUUUUUAUUGUAAACUAUUAAGCAUUUUAAGAAUAUCUUUAUUAGUUAUAAACAAUAUUGCAUUGUACGAGGUGAGUAACAGUUUCAACAACGAUGAAAUAUUGGAAUAGAAGACACUAGAUUAAUUACCGGAAAUAUGGAAGAACAAUAUUACCUUAACAUCGUAUUUUAUUAAAAUUAAGAAAUCAAAUCUUAAGAAAAUGCAAACCGGUUCAACGGUUUGAACCGGUAGAACCGGAUUUACCGCCGGUACAUAAGACAUACCAUAUUCGGGUUUUACCGGCCUUAUCGUACCGGACUCAUGCCCGAUAUCCGGUUUAACCGGUAUAACCGGCCGGUUUAUACCGGUAUUUAAAACAUUGCUUGCAACCCGUUGACUACAACUUUCAAUUCAAAACAAUUAUAAAAAAUUACGUUUGAAACAUUUAUUUUUAUUUUAUUUAAUGACAUAACUCGAUUAAUAUAAAGUAAAUUUUUCUACCCGCGAAGUUCGCGGGUGAUAACCUAGUUAUCUUAAUAUAUGAAAUGUAGCAACCGGGUCAACCCUGACUGAUCGAUCUCAUUCUAUCGGUGUUGGAACCAGCUUGUCGAACCCUAAAUAAAUAUAUUUAUGGUUUAACUUUUAGUGUAUAAAGUUUAACUUUAGUAUUUAGCUUUAGGAUUUAGCAUUUGAGUUUAGCUCAUAGUGUUUAUAGUUUAGAUUUUAGGAGCUUAGGGUUUAGGCUUACGGUUUAGAUUUAAUUAGGGUUUAAUUAAGGUAUAGCUUUAAGGGGUUAGGGUUUCUUGUUGGGUUCGAUAAGUCGGUUCUAACGUGCUAGUAAUUGGUGCAUUUUACAUACACGUUAAUAGAUAUUUAUUAUGGUAAAAAUGCAUUGCUAUUAAUAUAAAAGACAAUACAUUGAUUUCAUUUUGUAUUUUGUGGGCUACAAAGAAAACGAGCUAAAAUGAUCAAACUAAACAAAUGGUGAUAUAAAAAUGAGCUAAAAUGAUCAAACUAAACAAAUCGUGAUAUAAAAAUAUAUGUUAGCAAAAAUUAAUUAAAAUAAAUCAAAUGGUGGUGGUUUGUUAUGAAAGCUACAAGGAAACAAAAAUAUGGUUGUUUCACUUUUGUAGGCAUACCUACGAAUGAAAGUAAAUUAUGAGUCAAAGUGGUGAAAUUAAAUUAAUUGCAAAUUUGGUCUUAGAAAAUUGUUCAGAAGGAAAUAAUUGGAAAAGAGGCUUCAAAUUAAGAAUGUGGUAAGUAAUAAAGUUACGUGGGCUCGAAAAGUGGAUUAAUUAAUCUAAUGGGCUGGAAUUAAAUGAUGAUGCGGCCCAUAAGAAGAAUUACUAAAAAGGAACGCAGCAGGUUUUAGCAAGAGGAGAAAUUGAGAGUUUUGCUUUUGUGUUGGCAUAACGACUGUUAAGUGGUAGUCGGUGGUAUGGUUUUCUGGAGAAAUGCUCAAAAAAGCCAAAUUUGAAGCCAGCGUAGGCACGGUUUACACAACAUAGUCUGGCUAAAGUGGGUCAGUACAGGACUCCCCAAUUUGUAGAGUGUGGCAACCUUAUACAUGAAGUUAAUCGUUCAAAAAAAUAAAAUUGAAUAGCGUUGUUUUGAGGCCUUUGGCUGUUGGCACGCAAAUCAAGAAGGAUGAAAGACUUUGGAGUUAGUCGGUUUUGACGGGAUGAGCUUGAUGUUGGGAUGACAACUAUGCACGGCUAAUUCUCCUGUGACUUUCUUCUGGUGACGUUUAGUAGGGUUUAAUACUUUUCUCAAUUUUAUUUAGAUUUGGAUUUGUUUUUGACAUUGUUAACGUUGUAUAAACAAUUUGAUGUGUUGGUUUUUUAACUAUUUGCUUGU